CAAAUUAUUGUUCAAGUGCUGUUUGUCAAAAUCGUUACUCUGAACCCGGUCCGGGUAAAGUUUACUGCAGCAUAUUACGAGUGCUUCCCCAAUACUAUAUUACUUAUAUAUAUAUAUAUUUAAUACGAGGUGCGAGAAAACUUCUUCAGAGGACAAUUUCGUAAUAUCAAUCAAAGAAAGACACGCGUAGUAUAUAAAAUCGGCUCCCGCUUAAAACACAAACACGGUGACACAUGCCAGCGUACGCGAGCUUAUCCAAUUAUAUUGAAACCCUCUAUGGAAGGGAGUGUGACAAACUGUUUGUUUUAUUCGUGUAUCGGUUAUAUUAUUAUCGAAAAAGGCCGUUAGGUACAUAUAAUAAUGCGCCGUUUUGAUGGACAUUGUAUUA
Non-coding RNA from Cinara cedri, 388 nucleotides. NCBI's taxonomy places the organism in Eukaryota, Metazoa, Arthropoda, Insecta, Hemiptera, Aphididae. The record is from the annotation of a GenBank genome assembly.